ACACAUGCAAGUCGAACGGGUCUGCCUUGUUUUUUGCGGGGUGGGUUAGUGGCGAACGGGUGAGUAACACGUGAGUAACCUGCCCCUCACUUCUGGAUAACCGCUUGAAAGGGUGGCUAAUACGGGGUGUUCUGGCUGUGCCGCAUGGUGUGGCUGGGAAAGAUUCACUUUUGUGGUGUUUUGGUGGGGGAUGGGCUCGCGGCCUAUCAGCUUGUUGGUGGGGUGAUGGCCUGCCAAGGCUUUGACGGGUAGCCGGCCUGAGAGGGUGGGCGGUCACACUGGGACUGAGAUACGGCCCAGACUCCUGCGGGAGGCAGCAGUGGGGGGUAUUGCACAAUGGGCGGAAGCCUGAUGCAGCGACGUCGCGUGAGGGAUGGAGGCCUUCGGGUUGUGAACCUCUUUCGCCGGUGAAGAAGGUCCUGCUGCUCGGCUAACUACGGC
RNAcentral lists this ribosomal RNA (441 nucleotides) under uncultured Actinomyces sp. RNAcentral describes it as "bacterial SSU rRNA". It matches the Rfam family "Bacterial small subunit ribosomal RNA", at positions 51 to 479 of the family's 1533-position model. The record is from RNAcentral. Lineage: Bacteria; Bacillati; Actinomycetota; Actinomycetes; Actinomycetales; Actinomycetaceae.